Molecule: ribosomal RNA, 497 nt
Filed under: uncultured bacterium
Lineage: Bacteria
Description: partial 16S ribosomal RNA
Rfam family: Bacterial small subunit ribosomal RNA
Source: RNAcentral
GAUGAACGCUGGCGGCGUGCCUAAUACAUGCAAGUCGAGCGAACGGACGAGAAGCUUGCUUCUCUGAUGUUAGCGGCGGACGGGUGAGUAACACGUGGAUAACCUACCUAUAUGACGGGGAUAACUUCGGGAAAGCGGAGCUAAUACCGGAUAAUAUCUUGAACCGCAUGGUUCAAAAGUGAAAGACGGUCUUGCUGUCACUUAUAGAGGGAUCCGCGCUGCAUUAGCUAGUUGGUAAGGUAACGGCUUACCAAGGCAACGAUGCAUAGCCGACCUGAGAGGGUGAUCGGCCACACUAGAGCUGGAACACGGUCCAGACUCCUGAGGGAGGCAGCAGUCGGGAACCUUACGCAAUGGGCGAAAGCCUGACGGAGCAACGCCGCGUGAGUGAUGAAGGUCUUCGGAUCGUAAAACUCUCUUAUUAGGGAAGAACAUAUGUGUAAGUAGCUGUGCACAUCUUGACGGUAACUAGUCAGAAAGCCACGGCUAACUACGUG